AGUGAACGCUGGCGGUAGGCCUAACACAUGCAAGUCGAACGGCAGCACAGUAAGAGCUUGCUCUUACGGGUGGCGAGUGGCGGACGGGUGAGGAAUACAUCGGAAUCUACUUUUUCGUGGGGGAUAACGUAGGGAAACUUACGCUAAUACCGCAUACGACCUACGGGUGAAAGCAGGGGAUCUUCGGACCUUGCGCGAUUGAAUGAGCCGAUGUCGGAUUAGCUAGUUGGCGGGGUAAAGGCCCACCAAGGCGACGAUCCGUAGCUGGUCUGAGAGGAUGAUCAGCCACACUGGAACUGAGACACGGUCCAGACUCCUACGGGAGGCAGCAGUGGGGAAUAUUGGACAAUGGGCGCAAGCCUGAUCCAGCCAUACCGCGUGGGUGAAGAAGGCCUUCGGGUUGUAAAGCCCUUUUGUUGGGAAAGAAAAGCAGCAGGUUAAUACCCCGCUGUUCUGACGGUACCCAAAGAACAAGCACCGGCUAACUUAGUG
RNAcentral lists this ribosomal RNA (492 nucleotides) under uncultured bacterium. RNAcentral describes it as "partial 16S ribosomal RNA". It matches the Rfam family "Bacterial small subunit ribosomal RNA", at positions 29 to 507 of the family's 1533-position model. The record is from RNAcentral.